CCUACGUGAGGCAGCAGUGAGGAAUAUUGGUCAAUGGUCGGGAGACUGUACCAGCCAAGCCGCGUGAGGGAGGAAGGUACAGAGUAUCGUAAACCUCUUUUGUCAGGGAACAAAGGCGGGGACGUGUCCCCGGAUGAGUGUACCUGAAGAAAAAGCAUCGGCAAACUCCGUGCCAGCAGCCGCGGUAAUAGGGAGGAUGCGAGCGUUAUCCGGAUGUAUGGGGUUUAAGGGGGGCGCAGGGGGUCCGUUAAGUCAGCGGUCAAAGCCCGGGGCCCAACCCCGGCCCGCCGUUGAAACUGGGAGUCUCGAGUUGGAGAGAGGUAUGCGGAAUGCGCGGUGUAGCAGUGAAAUGCAUAGAUAUCGCGCAGAACUCCGAUUGCGAAGGCAGCAUGCCGGCUCCACACUGACGCUGAGGCACGAAAGCGUGGGUAUCGAACAGGAUUAGAUACCCUUGUAGUC
Molecule: ribosomal RNA, 459 nt
Filed under: uncultured bacterium
Lineage: Bacteria
Description: partial 16S ribosomal RNA
Rfam family: Bacterial small subunit ribosomal RNA
Source: RNAcentral